GAAUUCAACUCCUACGGGAGGCAGCAGUGGGGAAUAUUGGACAAUGGGCGAAAGCCUGAUCCAGCCAUGCCGCGUGUGUGAAGAAGGUCUUCGGGUUGUAAAGUACUUUCAGCGGGGAGGAAGGGAGUAAAGUUAAUACCUUUGCUCAUUGACGUUACCCGCAGAAGAAGCACCGGCUAACUCCGUGCCAGCAGCCGCGGUAAUACGGAGGGUGCAAGCGUUAAUCGGAAUUACUGGGCGUAAAGCGUGCGCAGGCGGUUGUGUAAGUCAGAUGUGAAAUCCCCGGGCUCAACCUGGGAAUUGCAUUUGAGACUGCACGGCUAGAGUGUGUCAGAGGGGGGUAGAAUUCCACGUGUAGCAGUGAAAUGCGUAGAUAUGUGGAGGAAUACCGAUGGCGAAGGCAGCCCCCUGGGAUAACACUGACGCUCAUGCACGAAAGCGGGGGGAGCAAACAGGAUUAGAUACCCGAGUAGUCCAGGCGUU
Molecule: ribosomal RNA, 483 nt
Filed under: uncultured bacterium
Lineage: Bacteria
Description: bacterial SSU rRNA
Rfam family: Bacterial small subunit ribosomal RNA
Source: RNAcentral